This 500-nucleotide ribosomal RNA is filed under the name uncultured bacterium. RNAcentral's name for it is "partial 16S ribosomal RNA". It matches the Rfam family "Bacterial small subunit ribosomal RNA", at positions 30 to 523 of the family's 1533-position model. The record is from RNAcentral.
AUUGAACGCUGGCGGAAUGCCUUACACAUGCAAGUCGAACGGCAGCACGGACUUCGGUCUGGUGGCGAGUGGCGAACGGGUGAGUAAUACAUCGGAACGUGCCCAAUCGUGGGGGAUAACGUAGCGAAAGCUACGCUAAUACCGCAUACGAUCUAAGGAUGAAAGCGGGGGAUCGCAAGACCUCGCGCGAUUGAAGCGGCCGAUGGCAGAUUAGGUAGUUGGUAGGGUAAAGGCCUACCAAGCCGACGAUCUGUAGCUGGUCUGAGAGGAUGAUCAGCCACACUGGGACUGAGACACGGCCCAGACUCCUACGGGAGGCAGCAGUGGGGAAUUUUGGACAAUGGACGCAAGUCUGAUCCAGCCAUUCCGCGUGCAGGAUGAAGGCCCUCGGGUUGUAAACUGCUUUUGUACAGAACGAAAAGGCUCUGGUUAAUACCUAGGGCUCAUGACGGUACUGUAAGAAUAAGCACCGGCUAACUACGUGCCAGCCGCCGCAGUAA